Molecule: ribosomal RNA, 229 nt
Filed under: uncultured bacterium
Lineage: Bacteria
Description: partial 16S ribosomal RNA
Rfam family: Bacterial small subunit ribosomal RNA
Source: RNAcentral
UGCGUAGGCGGGCUAAUAAGUCAGUGGUGAAAUCUCUCGGCUCAACCGGGAAACUGCCAUUGAUACUGUUAGUCUUGAGUUCGGUUGAGGUAGGCGGAAUGUGUAAUGUAGCGGUGAAAUGCUUAGAUAUUACACAGAACACCAAUUGCGUAGGCAGCUUACUAGAUCGACACUGACGCUGAGGCACGAAAGCGUGGGGAGCAAACAGGAUUAGAUACCCUGGUAGUCC